Molecule: non-coding RNA, 96 nt
Filed under: Streptococcus oralis
Lineage: Bacteria; Bacillati; Bacillota; Bacilli; Lactobacillales; Streptococcaceae
Description: preQ1-II (pre queuosine) riboswitch
Rfam family: PreQ1-II (pre queuosine) riboswitch aptamer
About the family: Q is a hyper modified nucleoside present in some anticodons in tRNAs (Try, Asn, Asp and His).
Source: RNAcentral
GUGCUAUACUGGUAAGGUUGAUAGUCUCAACCCUUGGUGCUUAGCUUCUUUCACCAAGCAUAUUUUACGCGGGAAACCGCUAAAGGAGAAAACAUG